GACAGAGGGUGCAAACGUUGCUCGGAAUUACUGGGCGUAAAGCGCGUGUAGGCGGGCUACCAAGUCAGAUGUGAAAUCCCUGGGCUCAACCCAGGAACUGCACUUGAAACUGGCAGCCUUGAGUGUCGGAGAGGAAAGCGGAAUUCCUGGUGUAGAGGUGAAAGUCGUAGAUAUCAGGAGGAACACCGGUGGCGAAGGCGGCUUUCUGGACGAUAACUGACGCUGAGACGCGAAAGCGUGGGGAGCAAACAGG
This 253-nucleotide ribosomal RNA is filed under the name uncultured bacterium. Its description in RNAcentral is "partial 16S ribosomal RNA". It matches the Rfam family "Bacterial small subunit ribosomal RNA", at positions 524 to 776 of the family's 1533-position model. The record is from RNAcentral.